RNAcentral lists this long non-coding RNA (341 nucleotides) under Canis lupus familiaris (dog). RNAcentral's name for it is "lncRNA (ENSCAFG00000058451.1, ENSCAFG00845012351.1)". The record is from RNAcentral. Lineage: Eukaryota; Metazoa; Chordata; Mammalia; Carnivora; Canidae.
GACUGACUUCCUAUUUUGCAGAUAGGAAAACUGAGGCAUAGCGAUGUAAGUUAUCUGGAGCAAAGCCACAGAGAGAGGGUUCGUGGGGCUGGAAUUCCAUCCCUGGUCUGUCCGGCUUCCCGACCCGUGAUCUCUAGGAGGACGAAGAUAACAACCACACAGAUCAGAGCAGAGAGGAGAAAAUGAGCUGGUGCUGCAGGCUGAAGGAUGAAGUCACUCCAGUUGGGGUGGAUUUGGAGGGGCCUUCCAUGCAUCUUUCCAUCUCCAGCGCUCACCAAAAUGCCUGGCACACAGCAGGUGCUCACUAAAUGAAAAUGCAAUUUGAGUUGAACAAAGUAAGC